Molecule: small nucleolar RNA, 164 nt
Filed under: Pseudomassariella vexata
Lineage: Eukaryota; Fungi; Ascomycota; Sordariomycetes; Amphisphaeriales; Pseudomassariaceae
Source: RNAcentral
UCGUCUUUUGCCAUGCUCGGUCAGCCAUCGUCUUCCACGACUGAUCUUGAGCCGGAUACCUCAUCAACGAGCGUACUAGACAAGAGAAAAUCACAACGCUUUUUGAGUGCGGAACCUCCUGGCUUUAGCAUCGAGGAAUUCGCAAUUUAUCUGUUGUCACAUCU